Molecule: ribosomal RNA, 468 nt
Filed under: uncultured bacterium
Lineage: Bacteria
Description: partial 16S ribosomal RNA
Rfam family: Bacterial small subunit ribosomal RNA
Source: RNAcentral
GACGAACGCUGGCGGAGUGCUUAACACAUGCAAGUCGAAGGGAAAGCUGCUGUUUCUGUGGGUUGCUCGAGUGGCGAACGGGGGAGUAAGACGUGAGUAACCUGCCCUUGACGUGGGGAUAACUUCAGGAAACUGAGGCGAAUACCGGAUAGGAGCUCCUGCUGCAUGGAGGGGGAUGGAAAGUUUCGGCGGUUGGGGAUGGACUCGCGGCUUAUCAGCUUGUUGGUGGGGUAGUGGCUUACCAAGGGUUUGACGGGUAGCCGGCGUGAGAGGGUGACCGGCCACAUUGGGACUGUGAUACGGCCCACACUCCUACGGGAGGCAGCAGUGGGGAAUAUUGCAGAAUGGGCGGACGCCUGAUGCAGAAACGCCGCGUGCGGGAUAACGGCCUUCUGGUUGUAAAACGUUUUCGCCUGUGACGAAGAGAGAGUGACGGUACUGGGUAAAGAAGCGCCGGCUAACUACGUG